AGAGUUUGAUCCUGGCUCAGGAUGAACGCUAGCGGCAGGCUUAAUACAUGCAAGUCGAGGGGCAGCGGGAGUAGCAAUACUUGCCGGCGACCGGCGCACGGGUGCGUAACGCGUAUGCAAUCUACCUUUAACAGAGGGAUAGCCCCGAGAAAUCGGGAUUAAUACCUCAUAAUAUUUUUUUAUGGCAUCAUAAGAAAAUCAAAGCUGAGGCGGUUAGAGAUGAGCAUGCGUGACAUUAGCUAGUUGGUGAGGUAACGGCUCACCAAGGCGACGAUGUCUAGGGGUUCUGAGAGGAUGAUCCCCCACACUGGUACUGAGACACGGACCAGACUCCUACGGGAGGCAGCAGUAAGGAAUAUUGGUCAAUGGGCGCGAGCCUGAACCAGCCAUGCCGCGUGCAGGAAGACGGCCUUAUGGGUUGUAAACUGCUUUUAUCGGGGAAUAAAUCUUUCUACGUGUAGAGAGUUGAAGGUACCCGAAGAAUAAGCAUCGGCUAACUCCGUGCCAGCAGCCGCGGUAAUACGGAGGAUGCAAGCGUUAUCCGGAUUCAUUGGGUUUAAAGGGUGCGCAGGCGGAUUAUUAAGUCAGUGGUGAAAUCUAACGGCUCAACUGUUAAGCUGCCAUUGAUACUGAUAGUCUAGAGUAUAGUUGAAGUGGGCGGAAUGUGUCAUGUAGCGGUGAAAUGCUUAGAUAUGACACAGAACACCGAUCGCGAAGGCAGCUCACUAAACUAAAACUGACGCUCAUGCACGAAAGCGUGGGGAUCAAACAGGAUUAGAUACCCUGGUAGUCCACGCCGUAAACGAUGAUUACUCGAUGUUGGCGAUACACAGUCAGCGUCUGAACGAAAGUAUUAAGUAAUCCACCUGGGGGAGUACGUUCGCA
RNAcentral lists this ribosomal RNA (885 nucleotides) under uncultured bacterium. RNAcentral describes it as "bacterial SSU rRNA". It matches the Rfam family "Bacterial small subunit ribosomal RNA", at positions 8 to 890 of the family's 1533-position model. The record is from RNAcentral.